This 1294-nucleotide ribosomal RNA is filed under the name Streptomyces qinglanensis. RNAcentral's name for it is "bacterial LSU rRNA". It matches the Rfam family "Bacterial large subunit ribosomal RNA", at positions 1 to 1210 of the family's 2925-position model. The record is from RNAcentral. Lineage: Bacteria; Bacillati; Actinomycetota; Actinomycetes; Kitasatosporales; Streptomycetaceae.
ACAGUGGACGCGAGCAUCUGUGGCCAAGUUUUUAAGGGCGCACGGUGGAUGCCUUGGCACCAGGAACCGAUGAAGGACGUGGGAGGCCGCGAUAGGCCCCGGGGAGCUGUCAACCGAGCUGUGAUCCGGGGGUGUCCGAAUGGGGGAACCCGGCAGUCGUCAUGGGCUGUCACCUGCCGCUGAAUGUAUAGGCGGUGUGGAGGGAACGCGGGGAAGUGAAACAUCUCAGUACCCGUAGGAAGAGAAAACAACCGUGAUUCCGGGAGUAGUGGUGAGCGAAACCGGAGGAGGCUAAACCGUAUGUGUGUGAGACCCGGCAGGGGUUGCGCAUGCGGGGUUGUGGGAUCUCACUUCAAUGGUCUGCCGGCUGUUGGACGAGUGAAAAAUUGUUGGUGUAGGCGAAGGGCAUGCGAAAGGCCCGGCGUAGAGGGUAAGACCCCCGUAGCUGAAAUGCCAGCAACUUGUUUGUGAGACUCCCAAGUAGCAUGGGGCCCGAGAAAUCCUGUGUGAAUCUGGCGGGACCACCCGUCAAGCCUAAAUAUUCCCUGGUGACCGAUAGCGGAUAGUACCGUGAGGGAAUGGUGAAAAGUACCGCGGGAGCGGAGUGAAAGAGUACCUGAAACCGUGUGCCUACAAGCCGUGGGAGCGUCGCGUUGCGUGUUUGCACGUAACGUCGUGACUGCGUGCCUUUUGAAGAAUGAGCCUGCGAGUUUGCGGCAUGUUGCGAGGUUAACCCGUGUGGGGGAGCCGUAGCGAAAGCGAGUCCGAAGAGGGCGUUUGAGUAGCGUGUUCAAGACCCGAAGCGGAGUGAUCUAGCCAUGGGCAGGGUGAAGCGCGGGUAAGACCGUGUGGAGGCCCGAACCCACCAGGGUUGAAAACCUGGGGGAUGACCUGUGGUUAGGGGUGAAAGGCCAAUCAAACUCCGUGAUAGCUGGUUCUCCCCGAAAUGCAUUUAGGUGCAGCGUCGUGUGUUUCUUGCCGGAGGUAGAGCACUGGAUAGGCGAUGGGCCCUACCGGGUUACUGACCUUAGCCAAACUCCGAAUGCCGGUAAGUGAGAGCGCGGCAGUGAGACUGUGGGGGAUAAGCUCCAUGGUCGAGAGGGAAACAGCCCAGAGCAUCGACUAAGGCCCCUAAGCGUGUGCUAAGUGGGAAAGGAUGUGGAGUCGCAGAGACAACCAGGAGGUUGGCUUAGAAGCAGCCAUCCUUGAAAGAGUGCGUAAUAGCUCACUGGUCAAGUGAUUCCGCGCCGAUAAUGUAGCGGGGCUCAAGUACACCGCCGAAGUCGUGUCACUC